This 443-nucleotide ribosomal RNA is filed under the name Bacillus pumilus. RNAcentral describes it as "bacterial SSU rRNA". It matches the Rfam family "Bacterial small subunit ribosomal RNA", at positions 85 to 514 of the family's 1533-position model. The record is from RNAcentral. Lineage: Bacteria; Bacillati; Bacillota; Bacilli; Caryophanales; Bacillaceae.
CCGGAUGUUAGCGGCGGACGGGUGAGUAACACGUGGGUAACCUGCCUGUAAGACUGGGAUAACUCCGGGAAACCGGAGCUAAUACCGGAUAGUUCCUUGAACCGCAUGGUUCAAGGAUGAAAGACGGUUUCGGCUGUCACUUACAGAUGGACCCGCGGCGCAUUAGCUAGUUGGUGAGGUAACGGCUCACCAAGGCGACGAUGCGUAGCCGACCUGAGAGGGUGAUCGGCCACACUGGGACUGAGACACGGCCCAGACUCCUACGGGAGGCAGCAGUAGGGAAUCUUCCGCAAUGGACGAAAGUCUGACGGAGCAACGCCGCGUGAGUGAUGAAGGUUUUCGGAUCGUAAAGCUCUGUUGUUAGGGAAGAACAAGUGCAAGAGUAACUGCUUGCACCUUGACGGUACCUAACCAGAAAGCCACGGCUAACUACGUGCCAGCAG